GACGAACGCUGGCGGCGUGCUUAACACAUGCAAGUCGAACGAUGAAGAAGAGAAACGCGAACUUCGGUUCAAAUUUCACUUCGGAUUAGUGGCAGACGGGUGAGUAACUCUUGAGCAACCUACCUCUUACAAAGGGAUAGCCUCGGGAAACCGUGAUUAUUACCAUAUGACACAUUCAUAAGGCAUCUUAAGAAUGUUAAAUCUACGGCGGUAAGAGAUGGGCUCGCGUCCCAUUAGCUAGUUGGUGAGGUAACGGCCCACCAAGGCGACGAUGGGCAACCGGGAUGAGAGGGUGAACGGUCACAUUUGAAGUGGGCCACGGUACAAAAUCCUACGGGAGGCAGCAGUGGGGGAUAUUGCAACAUGGAGGGAAUGAUGAUGGUGCGACGACGCGAGAGCGAUGAAGUAAUUCGUUUAGUAAAGCUCUGUUAUAUGGGCAGAACAGGACUGUACCAUAGGAGAAAGCCACGGCUAAAUACGUG
This 482-nucleotide ribosomal RNA is filed under the name uncultured bacterium. RNAcentral's name for it is "partial 16S ribosomal RNA". It matches the Rfam family "Bacterial small subunit ribosomal RNA", at positions 28 to 507 of the family's 1533-position model. The record is from RNAcentral.